RNAcentral lists this ribosomal RNA (497 nucleotides) under uncultured bacterium. RNAcentral's name for it is "partial 16S ribosomal RNA". It matches the Rfam family "Bacterial small subunit ribosomal RNA", at positions 28 to 507 of the family's 1533-position model. The record is from RNAcentral.
GAUGAACGCUGGCGGCGUGCCUAAUACAUGCCAGUAGAACGCUGAGGGCAGGAGCUUGCUCUUUCCGGGUGAGUUGCGCACGGGUGAGUAACGCGUGGGUAACCUGCCUGGUAUCGGGGGAUAUCUAUGGGAAACGAUAGCUAAUACCGCAUAACAGUAGAUUUUGCAUGACAGCUAGUAGAAAUGCGCAAUUGCUCCACUACCAGAUGGACUUGCGGUGUAUUGGCAAGUUGGUGAGUUACCGGCGCACCAAGGCGAGGUUACAUAGCCGAACUGAGAGGGUGAGCGGCCGCACUGGGACUGAGACACGGCCCAGUGUGCUACGGGAGGCACCAGUAGGGAAUCGGGGGGAAUGGGCGGAAGUCUGACCGAGCAACGCCGCGUGAGUGAGGAAGGUUUUCGGAUCGUAAAGCUCGGUUGUAAGAGAAGAACGCGUGUGAGAGUGGAAAGUUCACUCUGUGACGGUAUCUGACCAGAAAGGGACGGCUAACUACGUG